AGAGUUUGAUCCUGGCUCAGAGCGAACGCUGGCGGCAGGCCUAACACAUGCAAGUCGAACGAACUCUUCGGAGUUAGUGGCGGACGGGUGAGUAACACGUGGGAACGUGCCUUUUGGUUCGGAAUAACUCAGGGAAACUUGUGCUAAUACCGAAUGUGCCCUUCGGGGGAAAGAUUUAUCGCCAUUAGAGCGGCCCGCGUCUGAUUAGCUAGUUGGUGAGGUAAAGGCUCACCAAGGCGACGAUCAGUAGCUGGUCUGAGAGGAUGAUCAGCCACAUUGGGACUGAGACACGGCCCAAACUCCUACGGGAGGCAGCAGUGGGGAAUCUUGCGCAAUGGGCGAAAGCCUGACGCAGCCAUGCCGCGUGAAUGAUGAAGGUCUUAGGAUUGUAAAAUUCUUUCACCGGGGACGAUAAUGACGGUACCCGGAGAAGAAGCCCCGGCUAACUUCGUGCCAGCAGCCGCGGUAAU
This 470-nucleotide ribosomal RNA is filed under the name uncultured bacterium. RNAcentral's name for it is "bacterial SSU rRNA". It matches the Rfam family "Bacterial small subunit ribosomal RNA", at positions 8 to 524 of the family's 1533-position model. The record is from RNAcentral.